GAAAGAAAGGAAAUGGGGAGAUGUAAGGGAGAUGCAAGAAAUCACCAUCCACGUGCCUUUGCCGAUCCGAUGGUGAAACGACCUUCGAUGAUAGUCUUCAAUGUGGUGAACACUUCUAUGGAGUUGGAUUUUCAAUCACACGGUUCCAUUUUACUGUACAGGUAAGGGUGUGUUUUUCCUAAAUUUCUCUCUCGACUUUUUUGAGGUUUUUUCGUUUUGCUUUUAUUUACUUUCAAAAACCUCCAUUGAAAUGGGUGAGUUGUUGGGUUAUAUUAGAUCAUCUUAUAGUUUUCAUUUAUGUUGUUUUUGGAAACCUUAAACCUAUAAAAUGAUUUGGUUUUGCUAUAAAAAUGUUAAAUGGGAAGUGGAUGAAAGUUUAAUGUAGGAUAAAAAUAUUAGAAUUGUUGGUAUUUAAUAGUUGUUCUUGUGAUAUAAUUUACCAAAUUAUUGUGGGUAUGGAAAAAAAAUUAUUGGAAUAUUGGUUGAUAUAUUUUUUGUGAUUGUUUUCAUGUUAGAAAUUAUAGAAAUUUAUUGGUGAUAUAUUAAUGUUGAAAAUAAUGGAAAUUAUUUGUUGAAAAUUUUGAGUACUGAGAUAUGUUUAAAAUGAUUGUUUUAUAUUAUUGAGAUUAGUGGAAAUAAAUAAAAUUAGGGCAUAAAUUAUAUUUUGGGAUAUUUAGAUUAGUGAGAAUUUUUCUUUGAUAUUUGGGAUGAUAUAGUGCAAAAAAAAAAAAAAAAUGUUAUGUUGGUUGUUGAAAAUUAUUAUUAAAUAUGUUGGGAAUAAAUAAGAUUUAUGUGGCUAAGGUUUAAAUUAUGUUUUGAUGAUAUACAAAUUAAUUGUAAAUUUUAUAUGAUGUUUGUGAUGAUUAAAGUAAAGAAAUUCGUUGUGUGGAUUGUUGGAAAUUAUGAAAUAUAAUGAGAGUAAAUAGAAUUAUAUCUUGAAAAAUUAUGAAUGUUAAAAUGUGAUUUGAUAUUAGUUCAUAUGCAUCAUGGUUGUGUGAAGAAAAAGAAAAAUUGAAGAAAUAGUUGUGUGAAACGGAAAUGAGAAUGAAAAAACCCUGAAAAGGGCAAAAAUGAAAAGAAAAGAGAAAUGAGAAAUGGAAGGACUCCAAAGAGGGCAAAUUAAGAAAUGAAUGAGAUCCCUAGGGUGAAAAACCCAAAAGUUUACCUUGGGAAGACUCUGAAUGGGGAGGGUAUUUAGGUAAGGACGUGUAUCCUUCAAUGAAAACCCAAGAACAACAGUGCAUUGUUUGAUUGCGUGUAAGCAUUUGCAUCAUGUUUGUAUUUGGAAGAAGGAUUUGUAUUAUUUAUCAAUGGUAUAUUUGAAUAUAUUAUUCAAGACUAAAAUGACUUGUUUAUUUUGUAAAUUUAAAAUUGUUGACGUGCUAGACAUAUGAUGAAAUAAGAGAAGUGAUAAUUUUGAUUGGUUUAAAUGUGUAUAGUUGUGGUUCAUUUAAAGUAUACAAGGUAGAUGUAAAAUUACAUUUUGGUAUAUGAUUGUGUCUUAUUGACCUAGAAUUUCUAAACCAUUUGGGUGGAAAACACCCAACUAAGCAAUGUGGAAAUGUCUACCCUUUUAUUUUUAAAAAUUUUUAGAUGCAGAUAUAGAUUCUAAAGGGCCACAAGAAGAUCUAAAAGUGUUUUAAAAAGCAAAAGAACCGUAAAAAUGGUUCUUUUUAAUUUAUAGUACCUUUUUGACAUAUACUAAUUUGAGUUAUAUGGACUUUUGUAAGUUAAACUAUAUUUUGUUAACUUGUAAAACAUUUUGGGAAAUAUUAUUUUGACUUAGAAUUAUUGUAAAUAUUUGAGCUUUUGGGUGGGAAAAUGAUUGAUGGAUUUAUUAUACUUGUGAACGGGUGAUGGUUGGUUUUGGAGAUAAAUAAAAUGAAGUAAAGUAAUAUGAUAUAGUAAGUCUUAGCUUAGUAAAUUUAUUUGGGAUUAGAUGUUGUUUCGUUGAAAAAAAAAUCAAGUUAUUAGGAUUGAUUGCCAGCUUGGAUAGGGGUAAGCCUUAGGGUCAAACCUUUGACCUGUGGUCACAAGUCAAAUUCUGGGUUGCCUAGAAUUCAGGGUGUGACAGUAUUAUACUUAUCAUGACUGAGACAAGCUAGGAUCUUCAUGUCAAUUCUGAAGUUAGUUGACCUAGUUACAUGUUAAAAGCAUAGCAAAAGCAGUAUACCUUGGGCGGUGUGAGAAAAACAUCAACAUGUAGUGUACAACAUGCAUGAUCGAGUUGAGUUUGUGCCAAAAAAGUUUCCUUCGAUGGUUAGUGUUGUAAUAUUUGUUGUUCUCACAAUCUUUCUAGAAGCUUGGCAUCAUCCAUGGCCCAAGAUGUUGAAGAUGUGAAUGAGACAAGGGUGGGACCCAAGGACAUUAAGUUGGUCAUGACGUAGACUAGAAUCUCUUCUAAUAAUCUGGCAAUUGAGAUACAACGAUAAUGAGAAGCAGCAUUAGGCCAUGCCAUGCAUAACACGUAUAAUCAAUGAAGUUCUUGAGGCUUUGCGUGAUGAGGGUGUCAUGUCAAAAUUUGAUAAUCAUGAGAAUAUAUUAGUUUGUUCUCAAUACGACAACAAAUAUCAUGCCAUUGUAGAAAAUAUGGGAAAAGGUGUAGCAUCGCCUAGGAUCAAGUUUUCUAAACUACGGACCAAUGGGUUUUAUCUGUAAGUGACCUCAUUUUGUUGUAUAUUAUUGGUUCAAAGAGUCAUUGUUGACCUGGUGUGAGAAGCACAUGCAGUGUAGUUGUUCCAAAUAGCUAAAGACGAGUCCCAUUCCUUAACUAUUCCAUGCUUUCUGUGCCCCAACUACUCAACGACAAGCAACAAAUAUCACCCAACCCUAUCUGAGUGAAGUUUCAAAUUUCUAUACUCUAGAGUGUUGAGAAUGAUUCAUUGCUUUCCUCAUCUAAAUAAUGAAAAAAAAAAAAAAAAACCAAAGGACCCAGAGAAGGCUUAGAGUUAUCAAACGGAAAAUAGUUAGAUGUCGAAAAGCAUAUACCAAAGCGCAGGAAAAGAUGGAGUGGGUAUAAGAACUGCAAUAAAAUUCUGGUUUGCUUCCAUGGGAAUACUUCCUUUGGAUUAUGUCGGGAUGAAUGAAAAACUGUUCGAAAGGGGUUUCAAGUUUUAUUGGGUCAGUUCAUGGAGAACAAUGAGUAGACGUGAAGUUCAUUUGGUGAAUGGUUCUACUACUCUCAAUUAAAGUAGACUUUCAAGGAUGGUGCCCAUGGCCAUUUUGGGGAGCCAAAAGUGAAAUCGAGGAAAAUUAGUAAAUGGGGAAAGACCUAGUACUGUAAUGACCAGGUAUUUUAGGCCAUGUUAGAAUUUCAAGUUUGAAAAGUCUUCUAUUAGAUGGUGGUUGAAAAAUAAAAACAAUAAAAAAUGAUUGGAAAACACGUGUCAAUUUUGGAUUGACAGAAUUCAAAAUAUUUUUUUGAUCAAUUAAACGAGUUGAAUUUUUUUGUGUCAUGUCAACUUUAUGGUAGAAAAUUCAUUCGGAUCGUAGAAAUUGAAAAUUUCUGGAAACGAAAAGCAAAAGUGAAAAAUGAAAAAAAAAUGAAUUAAUUAAAAUUAAUUAGAACUAAUUAGGUAAAAAUUAAAUUAAAUUACUUAAUAAUAAAUUUGAGAAAAUUAAAAUUUUUGGGAUGUUGUUUGAUAAUUUAUUUUGUGUAUUGUUUAAAAAAAAUUGAAAUGGAAUGAAAAAUGAAUUAAAAAAAGAAAAUAAAAUGAAUUAAGAAAAUAAAAACUAAAUGAUUAUAAUAAUACAUAUGGGUAUGAGUGAGUGCACUAUGUGGUGGCCUUUUAAAGGAAUAAAAGAAAUAAAAAGAGAAGAAGGAGAAAAGUGGCAGAAGGGUGGGAGAGUCAGCGACUGUGAGAGAGGAGAAAACGCCGACCACCUUUGGUCGAUCGAUUCAAUGGCCAAACGAGCUCUUUUUCAUGUGAAAAAUUGAAGGAAAGUUCUACUCGAUGCAAGGAACAUUCCUACAAUGGUUGAUUACAUUUUCAACGGUUGGAUUGUUAGAUCUGUGGUAGGGAGACUUAACCCUAAAACUUUUAUUCAAUGCAUUUUUCUUUAAAAAAAAAAUUAUAAAUCUCAUUGUUGGAAGGUAAAUAGGUAGUAUUUAUGAUGUGAGAAAGUUUAUUGGGUGAUUUAGAAAUUUUCCUUGGGAUUUUUGUGUGAUAAUGAAAGUGUUUAAUUAUGGAAAUUAAUUGUGUUAGAUUGUUUGAAUUAUUAGGAUUGUUGAGAAAUAAUGGAAUAUUGCUGAAAAUUAUGCUUAAGUGAUAUUUGAAUUAUUGGAAAUUUAUUUAGUUGUUUUUGAUAAUUUUAUUGUGGAGAAAAUAAUUAUAUUUAAUUAUUGGAAUUAUUGGGGUUGUUGGAAAAUUAUGGAAUUUUGGUAUAAAUGUAAUUUCAAUGAUGUUUGGACUAGUUAGACUUUUAUUUGAUAUUUAUGAAUAAGGAUAAUUGACCUCAUUGCAUUUAAUUUGCAUCAUGGUUGUGUGAAAGAAAAAUAAAAACUGUGAAAAGUGCAUGAAAUGAAAAAAAGAAAAAGAAAAAAAAAAUAGUAAUGAAAACUAAAGGUUCGUGUGAGGCGAAUUAAGAAGGGAAUGAGACCCUUAGGGUGAAAGACCCAAAAUUCUACCCUGGGAAGACUUCGAAUGAGAAGUGUAUUUGGGUACCGACGCGUAUCCUUCGGUGAAAUCCCGAGAACGACAGUGCAUUGUAUGAUUGUGUGUCACAGAUCCACAUGCAUUUUAUUUAAUUGUUGAAAAUUAUUGAAUUGUUAUAAUUAUAGAAAUUAAAAUAUGUGGGUUGAUCAAUUAUGAUGGAAUGGUUAUUUUGUGUUCACUUGAAACUUAGUAAUCCCAAUUAACCUCAUAGGUGUAAGGUACGCUUCUGAGCAAUGUGGAAUGCUCACUUCUUCCUUCUUAUAUCUUUUUAGAUGCAGAUGUGACUCCUGAUGAACCACAGAUGGGGCAAGGAGGGCUUCAGGAUGCCCUAAGAGAUUUUGGAGCAGCCUAGUGGAUUGUAGUAUAUUUGUUAUGUUGGUUUAUUUUGGAACUUGUAUUAGCAAACCUUGAAACUAUAUAUUUGUAAUGAGACUUUAUUUUGAUUAAUUUUGUCAACUGUGAACUCUUAUUUCU
RNAcentral lists this long non-coding RNA (5129 nucleotides) under Vitis vinifera (wine grape). RNAcentral describes it as "long non-coding RNA (VVIN_LNC000165)". Lineage: Eukaryota; Viridiplantae; Streptophyta; Magnoliopsida; Vitales; Vitaceae. The record is from RNAcentral.